GGUGAACGCUGGCGGUAGGCCUAACACAUGCAAGUCGAACGGCAGCACAGUAAGAGCUUGCUCUUACGGGUGGCGAGUGGCGGACGGGUGAGGAAUACAUCGGAAUCUACUUUUUCGUGGGGGAUAACGUAGGGAAACUUACGCUAAUACCGCAUACGACCUACGGGUUAAAGCAGGGGAUCUUCGGACCUUGCGCGAUUCAAUGAGCCGAUGUCGGAUUAGCUAGUUGGCGGGGUAAAGGCCCACCAAGGCGACGAUCCGUAGCUGGUCUGAGAGGAUGAUCAGCCACACUGGAACUGAGACACGGUCCAGACUCCUACGGGAGGCAGCAGUGGGGAAUAUUGGACAAUGGGCGCAAGCCUGAUCCAGCCAUACCGCGUGAGUGAAGAAGGCCUUCGGGUUGUAAAGCCCUUUUGUUGGGAAAGAAAAGCAGCAGGUUAAUACCCCGCUGUUCUGACGGUACCCAAAGAAUAAGCACCGGCUAACUUCGUG
This 492-nucleotide ribosomal RNA is filed under the name uncultured bacterium. Its description in RNAcentral is "partial 16S ribosomal RNA". It matches the Rfam family "Bacterial small subunit ribosomal RNA", at positions 28 to 507 of the family's 1533-position model. The record is from RNAcentral.